Molecule: ribosomal RNA, 467 nt
Filed under: uncultured bacterium
Lineage: Bacteria
Description: partial 16S ribosomal RNA
Rfam family: Bacterial small subunit ribosomal RNA
Source: RNAcentral
GACGAACGCUGGCGGCGUGCUUAACACAUGCAAGUCGAACGGAAAGGCCCUGCUUUUGUGGGGUGCUCGAGUGGCGAACAGGUGAGUAACACGUGAGUAACCUGCCCUUGACUUUGGGAUAACUUCAGGAAACUGGGGCUAAUACCGGAUAGGAGCUCCUGCUGCAUGGUGGGGGUUGGAAAGUUUCGGCGGUUGGGGAUGGACUCGCGGCUUUCAGCUUGUUGGUGGGGUAGUGGCUUACCAAGGCUUUGACGGGUAGCCGGCCUGAGAGGGUGACCGGCCACAUUGGGACUGAGAUACGGCCCAGACUCCUACGGGAGGCAGCAGUGGGGAAUAUUGCACAAUGGGCGGAAGCCUGAUGCAGUAACGCCGCGUGCGGGAUGACGGCCUUCGGGUUGUAAACCUCUUUCGCCUGUGACGAAGCGUGAGUGACGGUAAUGGGUAAAGAAGCACCGGCUAACUACGUG